Molecule: ribosomal RNA, 393 nt
Filed under: uncultured bacterium
Lineage: Bacteria
Description: partial 16S ribosomal RNA
Rfam family: Bacterial small subunit ribosomal RNA
Source: RNAcentral
AUACGGAGGAUGCGAGCGUUAUCCGGAUUUAUUGGGUUUAAAGGGAGCGUAGGUGGGAUAUUAAGUCAGCUGUGAAAGUUUGGGGCUCAACCUUAAAAUUGCAGUUGAUACUGGUUUCCUUGAGUACGGUACAGGUGGGCGGAAUUCGUGGUGUAGCGGUGAAAUGCUUAGAUAUCACGAAGAACUCCGAUCGCGAAGGCAGCUCACCGGGCCGGAACUGACACUGAUGCUCGAAAGUGCGGGUAUCAAACAGGAUUAGAUACCCUGGUAGUCCUCACAGUAAACGAUGAAUACUCGCUGUUUGCGAUACACGGUAAGCGGCCAAGCGAAAGCGUUAAGUAUUCCACCUGGGGAGUACGCCGGCAACGGUGAAACUCAAAGGAAUUGACGGGG